Oryza brachyantha (malo sina) is the source of this 3726-nucleotide RNA transcript. RefSeq lists it as uncharacterized. NCBI's taxonomy places the organism in Eukaryota, Viridiplantae, Streptophyta, Magnoliopsida, Poales, Poaceae. The record is from RefSeq and is a predicted model, not a curated record. The transcript is spliced from 16 exons.
UUUGAUUCUAGAGUCAUGCUUUCAGCACGAAAGUUUUAUCCUCUUUUGUAUUUUACAAAGUGUGGCACUCAUAUAUCAAGUUGCAUGGUGUCUAGAGCUCAGAUUUGGUUCAUAUAAUCAAAAUUGGAAUGGUGAGAACGAUAGGUGGAUGCACAUAUGUUCAGUAUAUAUAUCCAGGGAUGUGAAGGAAUAAGUCUUGAGCUGUUUGGUCUUGGUCUUGUGGUGUCCUAUCCUUGUUUUUUCAGCUUUCAGUUACUAGGACAGUAUGUAGGACAGGUUGUUAGGAUGCUCUAGGACAGGUUGUUAGGAUGCUCUAGGACAAGUGGUUAGGAUGCUCUAGGACAGGUUGUUAGGAUGCUCUAGGACAGCAUCCUUUUAGGCUAGAAUACAGUUAUAAAUAUGUAUCCAACCUCCCCUCGGGAUGGUAUGACAUUUGGUGAUAAGUAAACAGAAAAUUGCCCUAAGUUUGAGUGUCAUCCUCUCACCAAUGAGAGUAACAAUUGAGAUACUAACAGGAUGUUGGAAUGAUUUUCUAGACAGUGUCUACAAAAGAUUUCCUUGAAAGGCCUCUAGCAGGUUCUCAAGCUCAGUUAUGCUUACUGGAAACGAAAAUACUGAACAUCUGGUCUCGUAUUGAUCCUACUUUCUGACUCUGUGGGUCAAACUAUUUUAGGGAUAGAAAGAAAGAACUUGCUCGAAAUUAUGCAGCCUACUACCCAUUUGGAGUUGAUGUAUACUUGUCUGAAGACAUUUUUCUUUCUUAUGAGUAGGGUGUUUAACUUCCCCCAAGUCACAGUUGUUUUCUGUAAAUCUUUGCGACUAACUAAUGAUAGUAUGAAGUUUGCUUCUGGGAGGAUAACCAAUUUGAUUUCAACUGCCACAGAAUCUCUUCGGGAUGCAGGUUUGGCAAGCCAUCAGUUGUGCAUAUUCUCCUCCAUGCACUGGUGUGGCAGUCAUAUAGACAAAAUUGGUAUGGUAAGAACGAUAGGUGGAUGCACAUAUGUUCAGUAUAUAUAUUCAGGGAUUUUGGAAUGAUUUUCUAGACAGUGUCUACAAAUGAUUUCCUUGAAAGGCCUCUAGCAGGUUCUGAAGCUCAGUUAUGCUUACUGGAAAAGAGUCCGUGGGUCAAACUAUUUUAGUUGUUUUCCAUAAAUCUUUGCGAUUAACUAAUGAUAGUUGGAAGAAGUUUGCUUCUGAGAGGAUAACCAAUUUGAGCUUCUGGGAGGAUAACCAAUUUGAUUUCAACUGCCACCGAAUCUCUUCAGUUUUGCAGCAAGUGUGCCAGCAACUUCACAGUGUAUGGUCAGCUCCUUGGUCCUUUUAUAUUCACAACUAGGCCCUGCAGCAUUAGUCAGUGCACUCAUGUUGGUUCUUUUGUUCCCAAUUAGGUACAUUUCUCUUUAGGCAUAUUCACUUAUGGACUCUCAGCACAGGUUUUGAACUGCCUAUUUGGUCCUAACAUGGUGCCAGAUCUGAGACUGUUCUCAUAAACAGAAUGCAAAACCUUACCAAUGAAGGGCUGCAAAGGACUGACAAAAGAAUCAGUCUAAUGAAUGCAAUGGAUACAGUCAAGUAUGCUUACAUUAACUUCGUUAGAUGUUAUGCUUGGGAGCAAAGUUUUCAGUCAAAAGUGCAGUAGAUUCGCGAUGAUGAGCUUUCAUGGUUCUGCAGUGCUCAAUUGCUUGCUGCGCUGAAUAGGUUCCUCCUCAACAGUGUCACGAUCAUUGUUACUGUGGUUUCAUUUGGCGUAUACUCUUUACUGGAAGGUGACCUGACACCAGCAAAGGUUGAGGAGAAUAUCAUUUUCCUCACCAUGUAUGCUUUGAUAGAUCAUUCUUGUGCUAUUUGAUUUCCAUCUGUCUCUGACGGAGAAAAUUGGUCCUUCGUGGAUUAGUGGCUUAUGUUCCUCAGGUUUCAUGGACCUUCAAUGCUACUGUUUGGGACAACAUAUUGUUUGGCUCUCCCUUCCAACCUUCACUCGACGAGAAAGCAAUAGAUGUCACUUCAUUAGGGCAUGACCUUGACCUACUACCAGGUGGUGGCCUAACAGAGAUCGGAGAAAGAGGAGUUAACAUUACUAGGGGUCAAAAGCAAAGAGUCUCAAUGACAAGAGUUGUUUAUUCUGAUUUUGAUGUCUACAUAUUUGAUGAUCCACCGAGUGCAUUAGAUGGCCAGCUUUGUCGACAGGUGCAUUUAUUGCUACCACAUUGCUUCAAGCUUUAUAUACUACGACUCUGUACAUGCUAAUGCAAGACGCACACCAUAGUGAGGCUAUCCCAAGGGCCGGGGAUCCGGAGCCCUGAGGUCAAUGUCCCGGGGACUCGGGGACCCCGAAAGGCUGAUGGCACGAGGACCUGGGGACAUGGAUUCACGAGGUUGAUGUACCGAAAAUGGAUAUGGGCCUUAGACAUGCAUGGAUAAGUUCGCAUUGGCCCGUUCAGCAACAUAGGAAAUAUAAUUUGAAGUAUACAACUCCAGCAUGUAAAUGUAUAAAGAUUAGACUUACAUUAAGCUACACUCAGGUGGCGCACCCCCAACCUCUAGUAUAGCGAGAAUCUCUGCCCAACCAAAGGGAGGAGGUGCACCAAGAUGAUGUUGAUUGGCAGUGGGCUCCUGUUGCUACCCAGCCGAGUAGACGCCGACAUGCUCAAGAUUAUCAAUGUAGCGAGCAUCUUUGCUCAACCAAUGCGAGGAGGUGCACCGAGAUAAUGUCCAUCAGUGGUGGGCUCCUGUUGUUGCCCGUUGUUGAAUGGGACAACAAGUUGGUUGUGAUGGAGAAUUUGGUGGGUCUUGACGUGCUAUUUUGACCAAGUCAUCUCAUGGGAAUUGUGAAACAGAGAGAAGGGUGGAUGUUCUACAUUCAGAUUUGAAAAAGCGCUCUGCCGCCCGCAGGGCAUCGCAUUGAAUGCAGCGUGCCAGAGGCAUGGUAAGUCAGUCUGGAGGCAGACCGGAGGAAUGUUAGAAGCAUGCGCCUACCCUUGGCGGAGGAUGUGAUCCGUGUCAGCCCCAUCGCGUGGGUCAUUAAUGAGAGGCUUUUUUGCAUCUCCCUCCAGAGAGAGCCGACGGUCCAUCUUUGAAGAACAUCAUCAUCGCCGCCGCUCCUUGGACGCGAAGAAACUGGAGGUCUUCGAUAUUAAAUGCCGAGGAGUCGCGGACGUCUCUGCCCACGCUGCAACGGGACGUGACCUACUUUGUGAAAAGAUGUGCGCUGUCGCCACAAGCCCCUUGAUUUGAUGGGCAUUAUUGUCCAUAAAAGAUUUUUUUUUCAUUCCUUAGAAGAUGGGUCCAGGCAACUGCGGGAGCCCCUUAUAGUAUAAAAGGAGGUCCUUGUCUAGGGAAAGGGGGAGCUCUAUGGAAUAGACACCGAAUAGACGCUUAGUGUGCUUCGACAUUGAGCUCAGCUAGGGUGUAUUCCUUGCGUCUUUGUCGCACCCAAGGGGACCUAUCCCCUCCAUCUCCUACCGCUCACGCUCUCACCCGCAGACCUGAUCCAAACCAACAAAGGGGGGACCCGCGGCUUCCCACUAGAGGAGUUUCACUCUCGGACAAUAUCAUUUAACCAUUUUUCAUACAUGGUUUGUUGCAUUUUUUUCACCAUAUGGCUAAUGUAUCAUUUGUUAAAUUACUAAGGUGUAUAACAAUAUAGGAUUAUGAUGCCAUUCUAUGUUGAAUCUGGUAACUUUGCACUUGGUAAAAUGUAUUUGUGUAUAGCAUUAUGAUAUCAUA